Molecule: ribosomal RNA, 497 nt
Filed under: uncultured bacterium
Lineage: Bacteria
Description: partial 16S ribosomal RNA
Rfam family: Bacterial small subunit ribosomal RNA
Source: RNAcentral
GAUGAACGCUGGCGGCGUGCCUAAUACAUGCAAGUCGAGCGAACAGACGAGGAGCUUGCUCCUUCGACGUUAGCGGCGGACGGGUGAGUAACACGUAGGUAACCUACCUAUAAGACUGGGAUAACUUCGGGAAACCGGAGCUAAUACCGGAUAAUAUUUCGAACCGCAUGGUUCGAUAGUGAAAGAUGGCUUUGCUAUCACUUAUAGAUGGACCUGCGCCGUAUUAGCUAGUUGGUAAGGUAACGGCUUACCAAGGCAACGAUACGUAGCCGACCUGAGAGGGUGAUCGGCCACACUGGAACUGAGACACGGUCCAGACUCCUCCGGGAGGCAGCAGUAGGGAAUCUUCCGCAAUGGGCGAAAGCCUGACGGAGCAACGCCGCGUGAGUGAUGAAGGUCUUCGGAUCGUAAAACUCUGUUAUUAGGGAAGAACAAACGUGUAAGUAACUGUGCACGUCUUGACGGUACCUAAUCAGAAAGCCACGGCUAACUACGUG